RNAcentral lists this ribosomal RNA (497 nucleotides) under uncultured bacterium. Its description in RNAcentral is "partial 16S ribosomal RNA". It matches the Rfam family "Bacterial small subunit ribosomal RNA", at positions 28 to 507 of the family's 1533-position model. The record is from RNAcentral.
GACGAACGCUGGCGGCGUGCCUAAUACAUGCAAGUUGAGCGAUGAAGAUUGGUGCUUGCACCAAUUUGAAGAGCAGCGAACGGGUGAGUAACGCGUGGGGAAUCUGCCUUUGAGCGGGGGACAACAUUUGGAAACGAAUGCUAAUACCGCAUAACAACUUUAAACAUAAGUUUUAAGUUUGAAAGAUGCAAUUGCAUCACUCAAAGAUGAUCCCGCGUUGUAUUAGCUAGUUGGUGAGGUAAAGGCUCACCAAGGCGAUGAUACAUAGCCGACCUGAGAGGGUGAUCGGCCACAUUGGGACUGAGACACGGCCCAAACUCCUACGGGAGGCAGCAGUAGGGAAUCUUCGGCAAUGGACGAAAGUCUGACCGAGCAACGCCGCGUGAGUAAAGAAGGUUUUCGGAUCGUAAAACUCUGUUGGUAGAGAAGAACGUUGGUGAGAGUGGAAAGCUCAUCAAGUGACGGUAACUACCCAGAAAGGGACGGCUAACUACGUG